CCUCUCCUUCCUUCCUUCUCCCCCUGCUUCUCUGUCUCUACCUUUCUCUCUUUCUUCUUUCUCCCUUUUUACUCUAUUGGGACAAAACUCUCCCUUACCAACUGCAGGAAAUCCUGAGGUGAUGGGUCUCUCCAGCUGAAGACCCCAGGGGAUACUGUUGGGCUGACCUGAGCUGGGGGGCGCUGUCGAGCACUCGGAGGAGGAGCAGCAGAAGUCACAGCUGGGGCUGUUGGUGCCUGUCACCCAGGCAGCGAGCUGCGCUGCAGGUAAAAAUAGUCUGCAGGAGUGGAGAGCGCUAGAGCUGCCACCUCGGGAGCGAGCGGUUCUCAGCAUAAACAAAGCAGCAUAUGAGUUUGGCCAGUACAACUUCUGGGUGGAAAGGAAGUUCAGUUUGUCUGCCUUCUUUCUUCAUCUGCAAAAUGGGGAGAAUGAAUUGGAUCCUCGCAGUGCCAGAGGCUUCUAUGAAGAUGGAAUGAGUGGCUGAGAAAGCCUUUUGAGAACCGAGGUGUGGUGUAUUCAUCCAAUGGAUACACUUCCAGAAAGCAAGGAUGACACUCCAAGGACAGUGGCUUUCCAAGAAGGUUAGCAUCUGAAUGGAGAUGUAAAGGAUGAAAGAGGAUGAGCUGUUACAGAAGAGGGACCUCCACCCACCCCGGGAAGCCCUGGACAGACUUAGUGAUAGGAGGCGCUUUCUAGAGGAGUUUGGGAGGUAAGCUUGGCCAGUGAAACAAAGUAAAGUCGCUCAGUCGUGUUCGACUCUUUGCAACCCCAUGGACUGUAGCCCACUGGGCUCCUCUGUCCAUGGAGUUUUCCAGGCAAGAGUACUGGUGUGGGUUGCUAUUUCCUUCUCCAGGGGAUCUUCCUGACCCAGGGAUCGUACCCAGGUCUCCUGCAUUGUAGGCAAAUGCUUUACCAUCUCAGCCACCAGGAGUGGGAUGGGAAUAAACACGCAUAACCCCCCA
Molecule: long non-coding RNA, 962 nt
Filed under: Bos indicus x Bos taurus (hybrid cattle)
Lineage: Eukaryota; Metazoa; Chordata; Mammalia; Artiodactyla; Bovidae
Description: lncRNA (ENSBIXG00005000375.1)
Source: RNAcentral